Molecule: long non-coding RNA, 2129 nt
Organism: Oncorhynchus tshawytscha (Chinook salmon)
Lineage: Eukaryota; Metazoa; Chordata; Actinopteri; Salmoniformes; Salmonidae
Source: Ensembl
GCCUCCCUCUAGAAAACCAAUUAUCUUUAUCUCCAGCUGUCCUCCCUGGCACUCCGUUUCCCCUAGCAGAGCCUACCUUGUUGCAGUAAAUUAGCGUUAACUGGGAGGAAGAGGCCACUCAUACAGACUGACUUGACUUUGGCAGCUCCAAGCAGGAACUAAACUGAGACUGAGGGGAUAUCCAUUCCACAGGCAAGGAGGAAAAACAGACUCGCACUUUCUCAAAGAACUCUCAAACUUCCCACAUCUGAAGGAUGGCCAGUUGCGGGUCGUGUUUCUGGAGCAUUGUGUGGCUGGUGAUUUUACUGAUCAUAGGCUGGCCCCUCAGUAUCUUACUCGGGGGGCUCUAUGGCCUCGUCACCCCCCUGACCACCUGCGUGGGCCUGGACCGCCUGUCAGACCUGCUCCUGGAGGGGGCCAACCUGGGUCGGACCUGUGCCCAGAACAUGAAACACGGCAAGGCAGUGUGCUGAGACCGGUCCUGGUCCUGACUGCUGGUUCUGGUCGUGUCACCGUGGAAACAAACGUUUCCUUCACAGAGGAAGAGUUACUGUUCAUGCCAAAGGCCAAUGUGUUAUUGUUCGUCUUGUCACGUUAUUCAGGUGUUAAUAUAAGUUCAAAGCCAAAACUUCACUUCCCAAACAUUUAACACAAUGAUUAUGCUCGCUCUAUAAAAGUGUUAUUAACAGUGGAUGUUCUUUUUGUUUGGGUUUGUCUAUUCUACAACUUGAAAUACAGAUACUUUGUAUUCAUAGCCUGAAUUUGCUGAUUUUAAUUCAUGAUGACAUCCUGCACAGGGCAGAGAAGAAUGUUCUACAGCUUAACUUUAACAAUAGAGCAGUUAUGAAUUUAAACUUAUAAAGUGAUACAAUUAUUUUGAACUUACAUAGUGUUUCUUGAUCGAAUUGUCAUUAGACCGAAAACAAAAUGUCUGCCUGCCUCUAUUUUACAUAGGAAUAUGUCUGCAUUCUCAAUCCUCAGAAACAUUUUCAGACUGAAGUGGAAGAUUUAAAUUGCAACUCAUCAGCGUUUCUUUGCUUAUAGGGAAGGUUUUGGUUUGAACUUGUUAGAUGAUGUGAACAGAUGGAAAUCAGGAUGAAGUCCUGUAACAUAUUUGGAUGCACUGUGAAUGUCAGAUACUCUAGGCUGUCCCUCAAUGAAGUGCUGAGAUGUAUGGGUCUAUCAGCAAUCAUAAAAGUUCAACUUCGACCCUUAACGUGAAAUGCAGAAAUUGCAGAAUUCAGUAACUGAGGAUAAGAUGUAAGAAUAAGCAUUACCUCUCUAAACUAUGAUAGGUUGACAUUUUUAAUUGCGUAUUGGCGAAUUCAAAUUCUCAGGAAGGAUUACCUUAUGUCACCUUUCAAUGGUCUUUAUUUUUUCUCAAACUAUGUGAUUUGGAUCUGUCCUUAUAGAACAGACGAAGUUCCUUCUCUCAGUGAAAGUCAGCAUCACCUUGACUUUUGCUUAAAAAAGCCCAUUCUGGCACCAUAGUUCAGCAAGCCAUUGAAAGAUGCCAUCCUUUCAUCCCUUCGUACUCUCAUGCAAUUGGGACAUUGAAGAGAUGAAACUUGAAAAAUAUCUCCAGUUCAAAGGAAAUGCACAGAGAACACAAGGUCAGAGGGGAGAAAGAGAGUGGAACAUUCCAACUUUUCAAGCACAUCUAUCAGGAAGUUGACUUUUGCGAAACCUGCUUCAUGCUUAAACCAUUCAUCAUGGACAACUCAACCUUCAAGAAUAAAAGCCAGAGUAAAUGCACACUGAAGGAUGAUGCAUUUAAAUGAAUUGCAGAGCUAUGAAAGUCCAAUUGAAACAGUGGGUUAUGCUGGCAUGAGUAAAACAAAUUCUUGGUAAAUUCCUCUAUUGUGCUAGAUGAAGUACCUUUAUAGUUUUUGUCUCCUUAAAAUUCUUCUCCAUCUUGACACAAUGCCAUGUCAUCAACUUCAAAAUAUAGCAUAGGUUCCAAUACUUUAAAAUCCCUAAUAGGAUUUAACCAAAACACUCCUGCUGAGUGUAGCCUUUGCCAUUACCAAAACCAGGGGAGCUAUAUGCAUUUGUAGAUUAAACUAUUCAAAUGUAAUUCAUGAAAAAGGUGUAUUUUUUCCAAAGCACUAUUUAAACUCUUUUUCUCG